GGAAGUAAAAGUCGUAACAAGGUUUCCGUAGGUGAACCUGCGGAAGGAUCAUUAUGAAUUAAUAAUAUUUGUGAAAUUUCAACAAACAACAUCAAUUUUAUAGUCUAUUAUUUUUAAUUAAAACUUUUAACAAUGGAUCUCUUGGUUCUCGUAUCGAUGAAGAACGCAGCGAAACGCGAUAUUUCUUGUGAAUUGCAGAAGUGAAUCAUCAGUUUUUGAACGCACAUUGCACUUUGGGGUAUCCCCCAAAGUAUACUUGUUUGAGCGUUGUUUCUCUCUUGGAAUUGCUUUGCUCUUCUAAAAUUUCGAAUCAAAUUCGUUUGAAAAACAACACUAUUCAACCUCAGAUCAAGUAGGAUUACCCGCUGAACUUAAGCAUAUCAAUAAGCGGAGGAAAAGAAACCAACAGGGAUUGCCUUAGUAACGGCGAGUGAAGCGGCAAAAGCUCAAAUUUGAAAUCGGCCCCCAGGUCGAGUUGUAAUUUGUAGAUUGUAUCUUGAGAGCGGAUUAAAGUCUGUUGGAACACAGCGCCUUAGAGGGUGACAGCCCCGUAAAAUCUAUUCUCAUUGUAAGAUACUUUCGAAGAGUCGAGUUGUUUGGGAAUGCAGCUCUAAGUGGGAGGUAAAUUCCUUCUAAAGCUAAAUAUUGACGAGAGACCGAUAGCGAACAAGUACUGUGAAGGA
This 683-nucleotide unclassified non-coding RNA is filed under the name Geotrichum candidum. RNAcentral's name for it is "sequence contains 18S rRNA gene, ITS1, 5.8S rRNA gene, ITS2, 28S rRNA gene". The stretch from base 339 to 683 matches the Rfam family "Eukaryotic large subunit ribosomal RNA", at positions 1 to 360 of the family's 3401-position model. The record is from RNAcentral. Lineage: Eukaryota; Fungi; Ascomycota; Dipodascomycetes; Dipodascales; Dipodascaceae.